Molecule: long non-coding RNA, 1234 nt
Organism: Heterocephalus glaber (naked mole-rat)
Lineage: Eukaryota; Metazoa; Chordata; Mammalia; Rodentia; Bathyergidae
Source: RefSeq, a predicted model, not a curated record
UUCCACCCAGGAAAUCAUGGCUUAUCUGAUAACUUUACUGAUGCUAAUUGCUUUACUUCUCACAGCAAUCCAUGCAGCAAGAGUAAGUCCUAGGGAAGAACAAAGUAAAGGUCGGUGUGCUUCUUGGUUAGCCUUAUCAUUCAGGUAAGGAUGGUCUUAGGGCUCCAAGUUCAGGGCUCAAAUGACGAAUGCAGAGGCCAGGUCAGUGACAUACAGACUACAGCAAGGCUUGGAGUGAUACAGUAGGAGGAAAAGUUGGUGGACUUGGGAGAGUUUCCCUAAAGUCAUUCAAAUUCCGUUUUUAAAAAAAGAUUCAAAAAUUAGAGAGUAGGAUGGGGCCGUGCUAAGGGCAACUUUGAGCUUUGUUUGAAUUAUUCACUAAAAAUUAGAAUAAUUUAAAAGAAAACAAAGCUCUUAAAAGUAAUCAGACAAACAAAUCCUGCAGUGGUAAACAAAACCUUAUCGUUUUAUGGCACCAGUUAAUAAUUUCUGUCACUUGCUACCUAGUUGUGAUAGGACAGGGACAGGAUGGAAGGAAGAGAGGACUUGCAUGUAGAGUCACAUGAGUAAAUGUGAGAGGAACUGACCUACAACAUAUAUGAUGACACCUGACUCUUCCCUGUCCUCUGUGCACUGUCACAUAUCCCUGGCUGGACUGCUCUCUGCUACGAUCAUUCAAGGACACUUACAAUCUUUCCUCCUAUGCCAGGUUUAUAUAAAUGUGGACGUCACUUGAGUUAAGUAAUGUGGCUUUUUACAUUGGCUUGCAAGAUUUUCCAUUAUUUCGGUCACGAUAGCCCUGUUUUCCCCAGUCAUUAAUUCUAUAAAUUCAUUCAUUCAGUAUGCUCCUAUGGAGUGAGUCUUUUGUGUUAUGCAAUAUAGUCAGAUUAAAAUUAUGAGGAUGUAGAAGACAAUUCUAGGUCAAUGUGUGAAUACAGAUGCUUGUUAUGUACUUGAAUUUCUAACAAAAGCUUUCUCAACCUCAAUACCAUUGCAUUUCAGUUGAAUUCCUUGUGGAAUCUCUUCUGUCUACUAUGGGAUGCUUCACACCUUUUUUGGUGUCAACUCACUGCCACUGGCAAACACAACCCUCCCAACUGUGAAUCAUGGAUUUCCCCACCAAACCAAAGGAAGCCUUCCUCAUUAUCUCUGGUCUCUUCAGCUAGGCCAUGCUCAUCUUCAGAUCAUGGGGACCCCGCUGCAGACAGGCAGGUCUGUGCACACCCUACCGAGG